This 67-nucleotide transfer RNA is filed under the name Marmota marmota marmota (Alpine marmot). It matches the Rfam family "tRNA". Rfam says of the family: Transfer RNA (tRNA) molecules are approximately 80 nucleotides in length. Their secondary structure includes four short double-helical elements and three loops (D, anti-codon, and T loops). Lineage: Eukaryota; Metazoa; Chordata; Mammalia; Rodentia; Sciuridae. RNAcentral also lists the same sequence under 1 other name. The record is from Rfam by way of RNAcentral.
GGUUGUAGCUCAGUGGUAGAACACUUGCCUAGCAUGUAUGAGGCACUGGGUUCAAUUCUCAGCACCA